RNAcentral lists this unclassified non-coding RNA (345 nucleotides) under soil metagenome. RNAcentral's name for it is "partial contains 5.8S ribosomal RNA, internal transcribed spacer 2, and large subunit ribosomal RNA". The stretch from base 1 to 120 matches the Rfam family "5.8S ribosomal RNA", at positions 35 to 154 of the family's 154-position model. The record is from RNAcentral.
GAUGAAGAACGCAGCGAAAUGCGAUACGUAAUGUGAAUUGCAGAAUUCAGUGAAUCAUCCAGUCUUUGAACGCACAUUGCGCCCCCUGGUAUUCCGGGGGGCAUGCCUGUCCGAGCGUCAUUGCUGCCCUCAAGCACGGCUUGUGUGUUGGGCCUCCGUCCUCCUCCCGGGGGACGGGCCCGAAAGGCAGCGGCGGCACCGCGUCCGGUCCUCGAGCGUAUGGGGCUUCGUCACCCGCUCUUGUAGGCCCGGUCGGCGCUUGCCGACACAUCAAUCUUUUUUCCAGGUUGACCUCGGAUCAGGUAGGGAUACCCGCUGAACUUAAGCAUAUCAAUAAGCGGAGGA